CUGUGAUGCCCUUAGAUGUUCUGGGCCGCACGCGCGCUACACUGAUUAAUCCAACGAGUCCGCUUCAAUCGAGGCGUGGCGCGCCGUCGGGGUCAAACCCGGCGGUCGCCGUCGCUGUCCUCGAUCGCGCCUGGGCCGAUAGGUCCGGGUAAUCUUUGCAAAUUUAAUCGUGCUGGGGAUAGAUCAUUGUAAUUAUUGAUCUUCAACGAGGAAUUCCUAGUAAGCGCGAGUCAUC
This 235-nucleotide ribosomal RNA is filed under the name Acanthamoeba sp. L1035/99. RNAcentral describes it as "partial 18S ribosomal RNA". It matches the Rfam family "Eukaryotic small subunit ribosomal RNA", at positions 1462 to 1632 of the family's 1831-position model. The record is from RNAcentral. Lineage: Eukaryota; Discosea; Longamoebia; Acanthamoebidae.